UACGAAGGGGGCUAGCGUUGUUCGGAUUUACUGGGCGUAAAGCGCACGUAGGCGGACUAUUAAGUCAGGGGUGAAAUCCCGGGGCUCAACCCCGGAACUGCCUUUGAUACUGGUAGUCUUGAGUUCGAGAGAGGUGAGUGGAAUUCCGAGUGUAGAGGUGAAAUUCGUAGAUAUUCGGAGGAACACCAGUGGCGAAGGCGGCUCACUGGCUCGAUACUGACGCUGAGGUGCGAAAGCCAGGGGAGCAAACGGG
Molecule: ribosomal RNA, 253 nt
Filed under: uncultured bacterium
Lineage: Bacteria
Description: partial 16S ribosomal RNA
Rfam family: Bacterial small subunit ribosomal RNA
Source: RNAcentral